CACCAGGUUGAUUCUGCCUGACGUAGAGGCUAGACUCAAAGAUUAAGCCAUGCAUGUUAGCGAAGUUUUUAAUGGAACGACAGACGGCUCAGUAAUUCUGCGAUUAUUUGCACUAUGACAAGACAUAACUAAUGAAACCAUUAGCUAAAUUAGUAGUUUAAGACGCAGGCCUAUCAGUUAGUUGGUAGUGUAAUGGACUACCAAGACUAUAACGGGUAACGGGAAAUUAGGGUUUUAUUCCGGAGAGGGGGCCUGAGAGAUGGCUCCCACGUCCAAGGACGGCAGCAGGCGCGAAAAUUGCCCACUCUUUAAUAUGAGGAGGCAGUUAUGAGACGUGAUUUUAAGAUUGGACCUUAAAUAAGUUUAUGUGAUGCGAUUGGAGGGCAAGUUUGGUGCCAGCAGCCGCGG
RNAcentral lists this ribosomal RNA (408 nucleotides) under uncultured Microsporidia. Its description in RNAcentral is "SSU rRNA". It matches the Rfam family "Microsporidia small subunit ribosomal RNA", at positions 1 to 405 of the family's 1311-position model. Lineage: Eukaryota; Fungi; Microsporidia. The record is from RNAcentral.